Molecule: ribosomal RNA, 720 nt
Filed under: Triticum aestivum (bread wheat)
Lineage: Eukaryota; Viridiplantae; Streptophyta; Magnoliopsida; Poales; Poaceae
Description: partial small subunit ribosomal RNA
Source: RNAcentral
AUGGCGCCAAGCCUAACUGCCAGGCCGUCCCCCCUUCCCUCCCCUCGCCUCUCCGGCGCCAAGAGCCAUCGCCUCCUCCUCGGCUUCAGAUGCGGCUCUGGCUCCGGCUCGCCCGGAAGCGGCGAUGACGGCGCACCGCCGAUCGUCAGGGCGGCGGUCAGCGCCGUCACUGAGCUCCUCAGGGCCCUCUCUCCCAAGAAACCAAGGCAAGCUGUCGAAGCCGUCGACGCAGAGUUGGAGUCGCCUCGCAGCGUCGAGGAAGUGGUUGCUGUUCUUGAAGCCGACUACCGGCGUGCUUAUUUCCUUACUGGGAACUUCACUCUGGACAUAUAUGCUGAAGAUUGCUUGUUUGAAGACCCGACGAUAAAGUUCCGUGGAAGGUCUAGAUACUCCCAGAAUCUGGAUUUGUUAGUGCCCUUCUUCGACAGCCCUUCGCUCCAACUUGAAAAUAUAGACAAGGGUUUGAGGGUCGACACAAAGUUUAUCAUAGCAACAUGGACAUUAAGGACGUAUUUGAAGCUCCCGUGGAGGCCCCUCAUCGCCAUAAGAGGGAACACAACAUACGAUUUAGAUGAAGAAUAUAAGGUUGCACUACGUUCCAGGUCGUUAGGCACGCAGAGAGUUGGGACGUCUCUCCGCUGGAAGCGAUCGGACAGUUAUUCAUCUCGGCUCCGAAGCAAACGGGAAGCUGAUCUGGCAAGUGAACUUUGGAACAAUUGA